ACCGGUGAUAGCGAGUAGGUGGCUAGUGUACUGCGGCAAGCAAGGAGACAGAGGCAUGGAGCAGAUGUGUGUGGCGAGCCGCUCAUGGCCAAUGCAGCGGCUGUCUCUAUUGUCAGCUUCUAGUGCUACCCCGCCAGUCGUCAUUGCCCCAUGUUGUGUGUUUUGGAGCUUCAAUUUUUCAGUUCGUAGUUUGAAUGCUUUUCAGCUCGUCUACUUUCAAAUCAAAAGUCCGGUCAUCUUUGUGUUUCCAUAUUCUGCACAAGAAUCAUUACACAUGCAGGUAUCUCAUCUCUCAGAUUUUUAUUUUCUCAGGAUGUAGCCAAAACCAGAUGUAGCAGUUACAAAAAAGGGUGAAGUUGGAGGAUCUCUACAUUAUUCUUGCUGGACGUUUAGAAAACAAAAAAAAAUUGAAAGAAAAAAUAAAGCAGGCGAAGUUCAUGAUUUUGAAGUUUGUGAUUUUGGCUCAUGGCAGAAGCUCAUUGGCGAUGAAGGAUGUGAAGCUUCACCACCAUUCACAACUCCAGUAUGGUCCAGUUUGUCAUGAGGAUCUGGAGCUUCAACUUUUUCAGUUCAUCUUUCAUAUGCUUUUUAAUAAAUCUACUUCCUCAUCUGCUGGAGAAUUGGCUCAACCCAACCUACAACUCCCUUUGCUCACAUGGAUGCAAGGAAGGGAUGAAAAGCAGGAGGGACACAAUUCCUGGGUAAUUUCACCAUGGAGCACAUGGUCCUUAGUUAAAACAAACAGAAAACAAUUUCUAGUACAUUUCUAGUUGCUACUUGUUGCCACUGGUAAAUUAGACAUGUUCAGAAAGUGUCAUGGAGCAAGCUCAGCAGAGAUUGUGCCGUUGACCCUUCUUAUUGAAGCUCCUUCUAGAUGUUACUUGGUGCCAUUGUUAAAUUGUGAAAGUUCAAAGACUAUCAUAGGGCAAAUCAGAA
Triticum dicoccoides is the source of this 936-nucleotide long non-coding RNA. RefSeq lists it as uncharacterized. The record is from RefSeq and is a predicted model, not a curated record. Lineage: Eukaryota; Viridiplantae; Streptophyta; Magnoliopsida; Poales; Poaceae. The transcript is spliced from 3 exons.